RNAcentral lists this ribosomal RNA (445 nucleotides) under uncultured bacterium. Its description in RNAcentral is "bacterial SSU rRNA". It matches the Rfam family "Bacterial small subunit ribosomal RNA", at positions 337 to 796 of the family's 1533-position model. The record is from RNAcentral.
ACCUACGGGGCGCAGCAGUAGGGAAUAUUGCACAAUGGACGAAAGUCUGAUGCAGCGACGCCGCGUGAGUGAUGAAGGCCUUCGGGUUGUAAAGCUCUGUUCUCAGGGAAUAAAAAAAUGAAGGUACCUGAGGAGAAAGGACCGGCUAACUUCGUGCCAGCAGCCGCGGUAAUACGAGGGGUCCAAGCGUUGUUCGGAAUCAUUGGGCGUAAAGCGGGUGUAGGUGGCUUUGUAAGUCAGGAGUGAAAGCCCUAGGCUCAACCUAGGAAGUGCUUUUGAUACUGCGAAGCUUGAAUGUGGGAGAGGAUCGUGGAAUUCCAGGUGUAGUGGUGAAAUACGUAGAUAUCUGGAGGAACACCGGUGGCGAAGGCGGCGAUCUGGCCCAACAUUGACACUCAGACCCGAAAGUGCGGGGAUCAGACAGGAUUAGAUACCCCGGUAGUCC